RNAcentral lists this ribosomal RNA (495 nucleotides) under uncultured bacterium. RNAcentral describes it as "partial 16S ribosomal RNA". It matches the Rfam family "Bacterial small subunit ribosomal RNA", at positions 30 to 507 of the family's 1533-position model. The record is from RNAcentral.
UGACCGCUGGCGGCGUGCCUAAUACAUGCAAGUCGCGCGAACAGACGAGGAGCUUGCUCCUCUGACGUUAGCGGCGGACGGGUGAGUAACACGUGGAUAACCUACCUAUAAGACUGGGAUAACUUCGGGAAACCGGAGCUAAUACCGGAUAAUAUAUUGAACCGCAUGGUUCAAUAGUGAAAGACGGUUUUGCUGUCACUUAUAGAUGGAUCCGCGCCGCAUUAGCUAGUUGGUAAGGUAACGGCUUACCAAGGCGACGAUGCGUAGCCGACCUGAGAGGGUGAUCGGCCACACUGGAACUGAGACACGGUCCAGACUCCUACGGGAGGCAGCAGUAGGGAAUCUUCCGCAAUGGGCGAAAGCCUGACGGAGCAACGCCGCGUGAGUGAUGAAGGUCUUCGGAUCGUAAAACUCUGUUAUUAGGGAAGAACAAAUGUGUAAGUAACUAUGCACGUCUUGACGGUACCUAAUCAGAAAGCCACGGCUAACUACGUG